AGGACGAACGCUGGCGGCGUGCUUAACACAUGCAAGUCGAACGGUGAAAGGGACUUCGGUCCCUGGAUCAGUGGCGAACGGGUGAGUAACACGUGGGCAACCUGCCCCUAGCUCCGGAAUAACCCCGGGAAACCGAGGCUAAUACCGGAUACGACCCUGCGCGGCAUCGCGCGGGGUGGAAAGUUUUUCGGCUAGGGAUGGGCUCGCGGCCUAUCAGCUUGUUGGUGGGGUAAUGGCCUACCAAGGCGACAACGGGUAGCCGGCCUGAGAGGGUGACCGGCCACACUGGGACUGAGACACGGCCCAGACUCCUACGGGAGGCAGCAGUGGGGAAUAUUGCGCAAUGGGCGAAAGCCUGACGCAGCGACGCCGCGUGAGGGAUGACGGCCUUCGGGUUGUAAACCUCUUUCGGUAGGGAUGAAGCCUUCGGGUGACGAGUACCGUGCGAGAAGAAGCACCGGCUAACUACGUGCCAGCAGCCGC
Molecule: ribosomal RNA, 483 nt
Filed under: uncultured soil bacterium
Lineage: Bacteria
Description: bacterial SSU rRNA
Rfam family: Bacterial small subunit ribosomal RNA
Source: RNAcentral